UCAGAUUUGGAAUCGCUGCGGCGAGUUGUGAAUUGCAGGUUGGCGCCUCGGCGGCGGCGGCGGUCCAAGUCCCUUGGAACAGGGCGCCAUUGAGGGUGAGAGCCCCGUGGGACCGGCGCCUGAGCUGUGAGGCCCUUCUGACGAGUCGAGUUGUUUGGGAAUGCAGCUCCAAGCGGGUGGUAAAUUCCAUCUAAGGCUAAAUACUGGCGAGAGACCGAUAGCGAACAAGUACUGUGAAAAAGCACUUUGAAAAGAGAGUGAAACAGCACGUGAAAUUGUUGAAAGGGAAGGGUAUUGCGCCCGACAUGGAGCGUGCGCACCGCUGCCCCCCGUGGGCGGCGCUCUGGGCGCGCUCUGGGCCAGCAUCGGUUUCUGCCGCGGGAGAGGGGCGCGGGGCAUGUAGCUCUUCGGAGUGUUAUAGCCCCGCGCCUGCGCCGCGAGCGGGGACCGAGGUCUGCGACGCAAGUCACGGAUGCUGGCACAACGGCGCAACACCGCCCGUCUUGAA
Molecule: ribosomal RNA, 508 nt
Filed under: Pichia fermentans
Lineage: Eukaryota; Fungi; Ascomycota; Pichiomycetes; Pichiales; Pichiaceae
Description: partial large subunit ribosomal RNA
Rfam family: Eukaryotic large subunit ribosomal RNA
Source: RNAcentral